CCUACGGGGGGCAGCAGUCGAGAAUCAUUCACAAUGGGGGAAACCCUGAUGGUGCGACGCCGCGUGGGGGAAUGAAGGUCUUCGGAUUGUAAACCCCUGUCAUGUGGGAGCAAAUUAAAAAGAUAGUACCACAAGAGGAAGAGACGGCUAACUCUGUGCCAGCAGCCGCGGUAAUACAGAGGUCUCAAGCGUUGUUCGGAAUCACUGGGCGUAAAGCGUGCGUAGGCUGUUUCGUAAGUCGUGUGUGAAAGGCCCGGGCUCAACCCGCGGACGGCACAUGAUACUGCGAGACUAGAGUAAUGGAGGGGGAACCAGAAUUCUCGGUGUAGCAGUGAAAUGCGUAGAGAUCGAGAGGAACACUCGUGGCGAAGGCGGGUUCCUGGACAUUAACUGACGCUGAGGCACGAAGGCCAGGGGAGCGAAAGGGAUUAGAUACCCGAGUAGUC
This 446-nucleotide ribosomal RNA is filed under the name uncultured bacterium. RNAcentral describes it as "partial 16S ribosomal RNA". It matches the Rfam family "Bacterial small subunit ribosomal RNA", at positions 338 to 795 of the family's 1533-position model. The record is from RNAcentral.